This 392-nucleotide unclassified non-coding RNA is filed under the name soil metagenome. Its description in RNAcentral is "partial contains 5.8S ribosomal RNA, internal transcribed spacer 2, and large subunit ribosomal RNA". The stretch from base 1 to 122 matches the Rfam family "5.8S ribosomal RNA", at positions 35 to 154 of the family's 154-position model. The record is from RNAcentral.
GAAGAAGAACGCAGCGAAAUGCGAUACUUGGUGUGAAUUGCAGAAUCCCGUGAACCAUCGAGUCUUUGAACGCAAGUUGCGCCCGAAGCCACUAGGCCGAGGGCACGCCUGCCUGGGCGUCACACGUCGUUGCCCCCCACCAUCUACUCCUUCGGGAUUGCGGGGGGCGGAUGAUGGCCUCCCGUGCGCCUAGCCGCGCGGUUGGCAUAAAUACCAAGUCCUCGGCGACGCACGCCACGACAAUCGGUGGUUGCGAAACCUCGGUUGCCCGGCGUGUGCGUUCGUCGCGCAUCGAGGGCUCGAAAAAAUGCUCGGCUCCGGCUCGGCUUUCAACGCGACCCCAGGUCAGGCGGGGUUACCCGCUGAAUUUAAGCAUAUCAAUAAGCGGAGGA